UUUACAUACAAUUAUUUUGCAACAUAAAUAUAUUUAGUAUUGAUAUUUUCGCAUAGAAAUCUAUUCAAGAGAGUUGUAUGUUGGUAGAGUAAUAAUAGUAGAGAAGUGCAAGGCACGCUUGUAACCGGGUACGGUAUGAAUACCCGCCGCUGAUUGUACUUUGUCUGUAUUAUUUGUGGUUCGACUAUAUAUAUUUAUAAAUCAGUUCAUCUUUAUCCACAGUGUAGCGCAGAAAUAGAGGUUAUUUUUCAUGACGUUUUACGGACAAUUGUAAAUAAAAAAUUUAAAAAAAAAACUGUGCUUUCUUCAUUACAAACCUACAUAGAUUAUGGAAUAUAAUAAUUUGGUGGUGAUAUUCUUCAUUUGUCGACAAUGAAUAAUUUUACCCGGCUUUACGAGAGAGGUAAAACAUUUCAAUAACCUCAAAUUAUGGACAUUUAACGUUUCUUUAUGAUACUGAAGUUAGCAGACGCCUAAUAAUUUUUGGAUUUUUUUAAAAAUGAUAAAUUGUAGAAAAAAAGUAUUCGAAAAAAUUGCACCUAUGGUUUUUUUAAUUUUCUACAUGUGCGUAUUUUGAAUACAAGGAAAUGAGUUAUUAAUUCAAAAGGAAAAAAUUAUAAUACUUUUGGAAUCUAAUGUGAUAUUAUAACUUAUAAAGUUAAAUUAAUUAAUAACAAAUUUUAUGCACUUAUCCAAAAAAUUAAAGGAACAAGAAAAUUUUAUAAAUUUUUUAGUGAUUUUUGGAAGUCUGUAUUUUCGUGAAAAAUAAUCGUAUCGAAAAAACAAAAAAAGCAAAUUGAAGCUUAAAAUCUCUAGUUUGAAGAUCUUUCAGCAAAGGAAUUUUUCGAGCUACGGUUUUUGCGGAAUCAUAAGAAAAAGGUCGAGACAAAAUUUUUCUAAAUUUUUUGGUUUUGUUUUUAAGGUCUACGGGGCCGGAAAAAAUUAUUUCAAGAAAUCGAAUUCAUGGUUCACUUAGGAAAUUUAUUCAGCUACAAUUUGCUUUUUUUUGUUUUUCUGUACGUCAAUUUGCUGCUGAGAUAUCAGCCUUCAAAUGAAAAAGGAUCUUUUUGUCUUUGAUUACUGAUAUCUUAGCAAAUAAUGGCCGCACAGUAAUUUAAAGGGCAGUUUAAGAAACUUGAAUAAAUUCCCUACUAAAAAAAAAAAAAAGCUCCUUUUUCGAUUUUGAAAAAAAAAAUUUUUUUUCAUCCGUGAUAUCCAUUUGAAAAACCCUUAAAAAAAAAUUUUUUCCGAAAAACGAGAUAAAACAAGAACUUUUUUACUUUUUUUUUCGUUUAUUGGAAAAAAAUUUUUUUUUUUCUCUUUACCUUACAUUUUCUGAAUAACUAACACAAAAAUGAAAGAAAAUCCGAAAAAAAUUGAUUUUUUCAUUUUGAUAACGAUUAGACAAUUUAAGGAAUAAAACUUGUUCCUUUAAUAGUUUUGCAAAACUUUGAGCAAUCGGACCAGACAAACGGUUCAAUGGAUCAAUCUGAAAAUUUCCAGGGUUUUUGAGGGUACAUUAAGCUGUAAAGUUACCUGGCAACAUUAUUUUUUUUAUCAAUAUGUGCAGAGUAGCGAUGAGUCGACUAAAAAACCAGAAAAUGGCCAUUUUUUAAGGGUUUUUCAAAUAGAUAUCACGGAUGAAAAAAAAUUUUUUUUUUCAAAAUCGAAAAAGGAGCUUUUUUUUUUUUUAGUAGGGAAUUUAUUCAAGUUUCUUAAACUGCCCUUUAAAUUACUGUGCGGCCAUUAUUUGCUAAGAUAUCAGUAAUUAAAGACAAAAGGAUCCUUUUUCAUUUGAAGGCUGAUAUCUCAGCAGCAAAUUGACGUACAGAAAAACAAAAAAAAGCAAAUUGUAGCUUAAUAAAUUUCCUAAGUGAACCAUGAAUUCGAUUUCUUGAAAUAAUUUUUCCCGGCCCCGUAGACCUUAAAAAUAAAACCAAAAAAAUUUAGAAAAUUUUGUCUCGACCUUUUUCUUAUGAUUCUGCAAAAACCGUGGCUUGAAAAAAUCUUUUACUGAAAGAUCUUUAAACUAGAGAUUCCAAGCUUCAAUUUGCUUUUUUUGUUUUUUCGAUACGAUUAUUUUUCACGAAAAUACAGCUUUCCAAAAAUCACUAAAAAAUUUAUAAAAUUUUUUUGUUCCUUUAAUUUUUUGGAUAAGUGUAUAUACCAAAAAAAUAUAUUUGAAAAAAUAUUAAAUAAAUGUUUUAUUAUUACUA
Long non-coding RNA from Microplitis mediator, 2216 nucleotides. RefSeq lists it as uncharacterized. Lineage: Eukaryota; Metazoa; Arthropoda; Insecta; Hymenoptera; Braconidae. The transcript is spliced from 2 exons. The record is from RefSeq and is a predicted model, not a curated record.